This 911-nucleotide ribosomal RNA is filed under the name uncultured eukaryote. Its description in RNAcentral is "bacterial SSU rRNA". It matches the Rfam family "Eukaryotic small subunit ribosomal RNA", at positions 129 to 1114 of the family's 1831-position model. The record is from RNAcentral.
GACGUUUCGAACGGAUAACCGUGGGAAACCAAGGCUAAUACGGGUGGAAACCGGACCUUGUGGUCUCGCGGUAUUUCCUGCUCCUAAAGCUGAACGCGCUUUGCGUGUGCGAGGAAUCGCAGGAACUUUUCGAGUCGAAUAAUCGAUGCGUCAUUUUGGUUUCUGACCUAUCAGCUUCCGACGGUAGGAUAUAGGCCUACCGUGGCUUUGACGGGUAACGGGGAAUUAGGGUUUGAUUCCGGAGAGGGAGCCUGAGAAACGGCUACCACGUCUAAGGACGGCAGCAGGCGCGUAAAUUACCCAAUCCUGACACAGGGAGGUAGUGACAAAAAAUAGCAACUCAAAGCAUAUGCUUUGUUGAUUGCAAUGAGAUUUGGCCAAAGCUCAUAACGAGAAACUAUUAGAGGGCAAGUCUGGUGCCAGCAGCCGCGGUAAUUCCAGCUCUAAGAGGGUAUUCGAAUUUUGUUGCAGUUAAAAAGCUCGUAGUUGAAUUGUGUCGUCUGCUGAACAGUCUCUUUUAGAGCGGGAAGCAGGCGCGGGUCCAAUCGGACCUUUGAAACUUUGAGAAAAUUUGAGUGUUUCAGGCGGGCCAGAGCUUGAAUCGUGUACCAUGGAAUUUCGCAGUGGCAGGUCACCCGUUGUUUCGGCUUAUGGGUGAAGCUGUGCGUGAUUGAUAGGAACUGUCGGGGGCAUUCGUACUGAACAGUCAGAGGUGAAAUUCUUAGAUUUGUUCAAGACGAACCAAUGCGAAAGCAUCUGCCCAGGAUGUUUUCAUUAAUCAAGAACGAAAGUUAGGGGAUCCAAGACGAUCAGAUACCGUCGUAGUCUUAACUGUAAACUAUGCCGACUAGAGAUCGGAAGAUAUCAUUGAGGAUUCCUUCGGCACCUAACGAGAAAUCAAAGUUUGGUUG